Molecule: ribosomal RNA, 464 nt
Filed under: Spinohirasea bengalensis
Lineage: Eukaryota; Metazoa; Arthropoda; Insecta; Phasmatodea; Lonchodidae
Description: partial 16S ribosomal RNA
Rfam family: Bacterial large subunit ribosomal RNA
Source: RNAcentral
GAAAUUUUAAUGGCCGCGGUAUUUUGACCGUGCAAAGGUAGCAUAAUCAUUAGUUUAUUAAUUGUAAACUUGUAUGAAUGGUUGGACGAAAUAUUUACUGUCUCAUAAUUAUUAUUAUAAUUUGAAUUUUUAGUUAAAAUGCUUAAAUUUUUUUAAAGGACGAGAAGACCCUAUAGAUCUUUAUUAUUUAAUUAUUUUUGUUUUUAGUUUAUUUUUUAUUUAAUAAUUGAAUUAUUUGGUUGGGGUGACAUUAAGAUAUAAAUAACUCUUAUUUUUUUUUUCAAUUAUGUUUGUUUGUAUGACCUUUUAUUAUUGUUUUAAGAUUAAGAUACCUUAGGGAUAACAGCGUAAUUUUCUUUGAGAGUUCUUAUCGACAAGAGAGAUUGCGACCUCGAUGUUGGAUUAAGAUUAUAAUUAGGUGAAGAUAUUUAAUUAUUAAGUCUGUUCGACUUUUAAAUUCUUAC